This 1529-nucleotide ribosomal RNA is filed under the name Escherichia coli. RNAcentral's name for it is "bacterial SSU rRNA". It matches the Rfam family "Bacterial small subunit ribosomal RNA". The record is from RNAcentral. Lineage: Bacteria; Pseudomonadati; Pseudomonadota; Gammaproteobacteria; Enterobacterales; Enterobacteriaceae.
AGAGUUUGAUCAUGGCUCAGAUUGAACGCUGGCGGCAGGCCUAACACAUGCAAGUCGAACGGUAACAGGAAGCAGCUUGCUGUUUUGCUGACGAGUGGCGGACGGGUGAGUAAUGUCUGGGAAACUGCCUGAUGGAGGGGGAUAACUACUGGAAACGGUAGCUAAUACCGCAUAACGUCGCAAGACCAAAGAGGGGGACCUUAGGGCCUCUUGCCAUCGGAUGUGCCCAGAUGGGAUUAGCUAGUAGGUGGGGUAACGGCUCACCUAGGCGACGAUCCCUAGCUGGUCUGAGAGGAUGACCAGCCACACUGGAACUGAGACACGGUCCAGACUCCUACGGGAGGCAGCAGUGGGGAAUAUUGCACAAUGGGCGCAAGCCUGAUGCAGCCAUGCCGCGUGUAUGAAGAAGGCCUUCGGGUUGUAAAGUACUUUCAGCGGGGAGGAAGGGAGUAAAGUUAAUACCUUUGCUCAUUGACGUUACCCGCAGAAGAAGCACCGGCUAACUCCGUGCCAGCAGCCGCGGUAAUACGGAGGGUGCAAGCGUUAAUCGGAAUUACUGGGCGUAAAGCGCACGCAGGCGGUUUGUUAAGUCAGAUGUGAAAUCCCCGGGCUCAACCUGGGAACUGCAUCUGAUACUGGCAAGCUUGAGUCUCGUAGAGGGGGGUAGAAUUCCAGGUGUAGCGGUGAAAUGCGUAGAGAUCUGGAGGAAUACCGGUGGCGAAGGCGGCCCCUGGACGAAGACUGACGCUCAGGUGCGAAAGCGUGGGGAGCAAACAGGAUUAGAUACCCUGGUAGUCCACGCCGUAAACGAUGUCGACUUGGAGGUUGUGCCCUUGAGGCGUGGCUUCCGGAGCUAACGCGUUAAGUCGACCGCCUGGGGAGUACGGCCGCAAGGUUAAAACUCAAAUGAAUUGACGGGGGCCCGCACAAGCGGUGGAGCAUGUGGUUUAAUUCGAUGCAACGCGAAGAACCUUACCUGGUCUUGACAUCCACGGAAGUUUUCAGAGAUGAGAAUGUGCCUUCGGGAACCGUGAGACAGGUGCUGCAUGGCUGUCGUCAGCUCGUGUUGUGAAAUGUUGGGUUAAGUCCCGCAACGAGCGCAACCCUUAUCCUUUGUUGCCAGCGGUCCGGCCGGGAACUCAAAGGAGACUGCCAGUGAUAAACUGGAGGAAGGUGGGGAUGACGUCAAGUCAUCAUGGCCCUUACGACCAGGGCUACACACGUGCUACAAUGGCGCAUACAAAGAGAAGCGACCUCGCGAGAGCAAGCGGACCUCAUAAAGUGCGUCGUAGUCCGGAUUGGAGUCUGCAACUCGACUCCAUGAAGUCGGAAUCGCUAGUAAUCGUGGAUCAGAAUGCCACGGUGAAUACGUUCCCGGGCCUUGUACACACCGCCCGUCACACCAUGGGAGUGGGUUGCAAAAGAAGUAGGUAGCUUAACCUUCGGGAGGGCGCUUACCACUUUGUGAUUCAUGACUGGGGUGAAGUCGUAACAAGGUAACCGUAGGGGAACCUGCGGUUGGAUCACCU